This 361-nucleotide RNase P RNA is filed under the name Splendidivirga corallicola. Its description in RNAcentral is "RNase P RNA component class A". It matches the Rfam family "Bacterial RNase P class A". From Rfam's summary of the family: Ribonuclease P (RNase P) is a ubiquitous endoribonuclease, found in archaea, bacteria and eukarya as well as chloroplasts and mitochondria. Its best characterised activity is the generation of mature 5'-ends of tRNAs by cleaving the 5'-leader elements of precursor-tRNAs. Cellular RNase Ps are ribonucleoproteins. The record is from RNAcentral. Lineage: Bacteria; Pseudomonadati; Bacteroidota; Cytophagia; Cytophagales; Splendidivirgaceae.
UAUGCAAGUUGCCUUACCGCCUCAAUUUGUUGGGGAGGAAAGUCCGGGCAACAUAGAGCACCGUACUUCCUAACGGGAAGGUCCCGAUACAUCGGGAACAGAUAGUGCCACAGAAAAUAUACCGCCCUGACGUGUCGGGGUAAGGGUGAAAAGGUGAGGUAAGAGCUCACCGGAUGAAUGGUGACAUUGAUCGCAUGGUAAACCUUACGGGUUGAAAGAUCAAAUAAGCUAAUGUAUGAGGAUUGCUCGUCCGAUGUUAGCGGGUAGAUCGAUAGAUCCCGAUAGUGAUAUCGGGACCAGAUAAAUGGUAAGGAUCUCAGUACCUGGGAUACAGAACCCGGCUUAUAGACUUGCAUUUUUU